AUACUUACUUGACCAGGGAGAUAGUAUGAUCACAAAGUUGUUUUUCCCAAGCCAAGUCUUGCCCAUAGCACUGCACAUGUGCUGACUCCCUGUAGUUUUCCCAUGUUUGAGAAACUUCAUUGUACAAUUUGUGCUUAAGGGAUUAAAAAAAAAGAUACAAGAAGCCCA
Bison bison bison is the source of this 168-nucleotide small nuclear RNA. Its record names the gene U1. It matches the Rfam family "U1 spliceosomal RNA". Rfam says of the family: U1 is a small nuclear RNA (snRNA) component of the spliceosome (involved in pre-mRNA splicing). Its 5' end forms complementary base pairs with the 5' splice junction, thus defining the 5' donor site of an intron. The record is from Ensembl. NCBI's taxonomy places the organism in Eukaryota, Metazoa, Chordata, Mammalia, Artiodactyla, Bovidae.